GAGAAAGGUUUUUCAAGAGCGAGUAAAGUGGCGGAAGGGCGAGUAAUGCAUAGAUGACCUACCCUCGAGAUGGGGACAACCAUUCGAAAGGAUGGCUAAUACCCAAUAAGACCACGGGUCGCAUGGCCUGUGCUCAAAGAUGGGGACCCGCAAGGGCCUUUCGCUCGAGGAGGGGUUUAUGUCCUAUCAGCUAGUUGGUGGGGUAAUGGCUCACCAAGGCUAUGACGGGUAGCCGACCUGAGAGGGUGACCGGCCGCACUGGGACUGAGACACUGCCCAGACUCCUACGGGAGGCUGCAGUCGAGGAUCUUCCGCAAUGCACGAAAGUGUGACGGAGCGACGCCGCGUGGGUGAUGAAGGCCUUCGGGUUGUAAAGCCCUGUCGCCUGGGAAGAAUGGCGGGAGGUGAAUAGCCAUCUCGUCUUGACGCUACCAGUAAAGGAAGCACCGGCUAAAUACGUGCCAGCAGCCGCGGUAAUACGUAUGGUGCGAACGUUGUUCGGAAUCACUGGGCAUAAAGAGCACGUAGGCGGUCGGGCAAGUCCAUUGUG
RNAcentral lists this ribosomal RNA (550 nucleotides) under uncultured bacterium. RNAcentral describes it as "bacterial SSU rRNA". It matches the Rfam family "Bacterial small subunit ribosomal RNA", at positions 68 to 596 of the family's 1533-position model. The record is from RNAcentral.